ACUCAAAGGAAUAGACGGGGGCCCGCACAAGCGGAGGAGCAUGUGGUUUAAUUCGAUGAUACGCGAGGAACCUUACCCGGGCUUGAAAGUUAGUGAAUGACUCAGAAAAGGGUCAGUCAGCAAUGACACGAAACUAGGUGCUGCAUGGCUGUCGUCAGCUCGUGCCGUGAGGUGUUAGGUUAAGUCCUGCAACGAGCGCAACCCCUACUAUUAGUUGCCAUCAGGUUAUGCUGGGGACUCUAAUAGGACUGCCCGCGCAAGCGGUGAGGAAGGUGGGGAUGACGUCAAGUCAGCACGGCCCUUACGUCCGGGGCUACACACGUGCUACAAUGGUAGGUACAAUGGGCAGCCACAUGGCAACAUGGAGCUAAUCCUUAAAACCUAUCUCAGUUCGGAUUGAGGUCUGCAACUCGACCUCAUGAAGCUGGAUUCGCUAGUAAUCGUACAUCAGCAAUGGUACGGUGAAUACGUUCCCGGGCCUUGUACACACCGCCCGU
Molecule: ribosomal RNA, 497 nt
Filed under: uncultured bacterium
Lineage: Bacteria
Description: partial 16S ribosomal RNA
Rfam family: Bacterial small subunit ribosomal RNA
Source: RNAcentral